AUACUUACUGCACCUGGCAGACACCUUGAUCACGAAGGAGGUUCACCUAGGACGAGUCUCGGCCAUUGCACUCUGGCCAUGCUGACCCCUGCGAAUUCCCCAAAUGUGGGAAUCUCGACUGCAUCAUUUGUGGUAGUGGGGGACUGCGUCCACGCUCUCCCAUG
Small nuclear RNA from Hucho hucho (huchen), 164 nucleotides. Its record names the gene U1. It matches the Rfam family "U1 spliceosomal RNA". From Rfam's summary of the family: U1 is a small nuclear RNA (snRNA) component of the spliceosome (involved in pre-mRNA splicing). Its 5' end forms complementary base pairs with the 5' splice junction, thus defining the 5' donor site of an intron. The record is from Ensembl. Lineage: Eukaryota; Metazoa; Chordata; Actinopteri; Salmoniformes; Salmonidae.